RNAcentral lists this ribosomal RNA (51 nucleotides) under Lepturus repens. RNAcentral describes it as "partial 26S ribosomal RNA". Lineage: Eukaryota; Viridiplantae; Streptophyta; Magnoliopsida; Poales; Poaceae. RNAcentral also lists the same sequence under 1 other name. The record is from RNAcentral.
CAUGACCCCAGGUCAGUCGGGACUACCCGCUGAAUUUAAGCAUAUAAAUAA